This 497-nucleotide ribosomal RNA is filed under the name uncultured bacterium. Its description in RNAcentral is "partial 16S ribosomal RNA". It matches the Rfam family "Bacterial small subunit ribosomal RNA", at positions 28 to 507 of the family's 1533-position model. The record is from RNAcentral.
GAUGAACGCUGGCGGCGUGCCUAAUACAUGCAAGUCGAGCGAACGGACGAGAAGCUUGCUUCUCUGAUGUUAGCGGCGGACGGGUGAGUAACACGUGGAUAACCUACCUAUAAGACUGGGAUAACUUCGGGAAACCGGAGCUAAUACCGGAUAAUAUUUUGAACCGCAUGGUUCAUAAGUGAAAGACGGUCUUGCUGUCACUUAUAGAUGGAUCCGCGCUGCAUUAGCUAGUUGGUAAGGUAACGGCUUACCAAGGCAACGAUGCAUAGCCGACCUGAGAGGGUGAUCGGCCACACUGGAACUGAGACACGGUCCAGACUCCUACGGGAGGCAGCAGUAGGGAAUAGUCCGCAAUGGGCGAAAGCCUGACGGAGCAACGCCGCGUGAGUGAUGAAGGUCUUCGGAUCGUAAAACUCUGUUAUUAGGGAAGAACAUAUGUGUAAGUAAAUGUGCACAUCUUGACGGUACCUAAUCAGAAAGCCACGGCUAACUACGUG